AAUGAAUUGCCUGAAAAAGGAUUAUCUUGAUAGGAUAAAUCAUGUAAUAAUAUUACAUUCAUUA
Molecule: transfer RNA, 64 nt
Filed under: Miltogramma oestracea
Lineage: Eukaryota; Metazoa; Arthropoda; Insecta; Diptera; Sarcophagidae
Description: tRNA-Ile
Source: RNAcentral